This 253-nucleotide ribosomal RNA is filed under the name uncultured bacterium. Its description in RNAcentral is "partial 16S ribosomal RNA". It matches the Rfam family "Bacterial small subunit ribosomal RNA", at positions 524 to 776 of the family's 1533-position model. The record is from RNAcentral.
UACGUAGGGGGCAAGCGUUGUCCGGAAUCAUUGGGCGUAAAGAGCGUGUAGGCGGCCUGAUAAGUCGGCUGUGAAAGUCAAGGGCUCAACCCUUGAAUGCCGGCCGAUACUGUCAGGCUAGAGUCCGGAAGAGGCGAGUGGAAUUCCUGGUGUAGCGGUGAAAUGCGCAGAUAUCAGGAGGAACACCUAUGGCGAAGGCAGCUCGCUGGGACGGUACUGACGCUGAGACGCGAAAGCGUGGCGAGCGAACAGU